AGUCAAGUAAUUAAGUGCAUGUGGUGGAUGCCUUGGCAGUCAGAGGCGAUGAAAGACGUGAUAGCCUGCGAAAAGCUCCGGGGAGGCGGCAAAUAUCCUUUGAUCCGGAGAUGUCUGAAUGGGGGAACCCACCUACUUUAAGGUAGGUAUUGCAACAUGAAUACAUAGUGUUGCAAGGCGAACGAGGGGAAGUGAAACAUCUCAGUACCCUUAGGAAAAGAAAUCAAUUGAGAUUCCCUCAGUAGCGGCGAGCGAACGGGGAUCAGCCCAUUAAGUUAUGUGUGUUUUAGUGGAACGCUCUGGGAAGUGCGAACGUAGAGGGUGAUAUUCCCGUACACGAAAGGGCACACAUAAUGAUGACGAGUAGGGCGAGGCACGUGAAACCUUGUCUGAAUAUGGGGGGACCAUCCUCCAAGGCUAAAUACUCCUGACUGACCGAUAGUGAACCAGUACCGUGAGGGAAAGGCGAAAAGAACCCCUGUGAGGGGAGUGAAAUAGAUCCUGAAACCGCAUGCAUACAAGCAGUGGGAGCACCUUCGUGGUGUGACUGCGUACCUUUUGUAUAAUGGGUCAGCGACUUAUAUUCAGUAGCGAGGUUAACCGUAUAGGGGAGCCGUAGAGAAAUCGAGUCUUAAUAGGGCGUUUAGUUGCUGGGUAUAGACCCGAAACCAGGCGAUCUAUCCAUGAGCAGGUUGAAGGUUGGGUAACACUAACUGGAGGACCGAACCCACUGUCGUUGAAAAGCCAGGGGAUGACUUGUGGAUAGGGGUGAAAGGCUAAUCAAGCCUGGUGAUAGCUGGUUCUCCCCGAAAGCUAUUUAGGUAGCGCCUCGGACGAAUACCAUAGGGGGUAGAGCACUGUUUCGGCUAGGGGGUCAUCCCGACUUACCAAACCGAUGCAAACUCCGAAUACCUAUGAGUACUAUCCGGGAGACAGACUGCGGGUGCUAACGUCCGUAGUCAAGAGGAAAACAAUCCAGACCGCCAGCUAAGGCCCCAAAAUCAUAGUUAAGUGGGAAACGAUGUGGGAAGGCAUAGACAGCUAGGAGGUUGGCUUAGAAGCAGCCACCCUUUAAAGAAAGCGUAAUAGCUCACUAGUCGAGUCGGCCUGCGCGGAAGAUGUAACGGGGCUAAAACUAUGUGCCGAAGCUGCGGAUNNUGCUGGAGGUAUCAGAAGUGCGAAUGCUGACGUGAGUAACGACAAAACGGGUGAAAAACCCGUUCGCCGAAAGACCAAGGGUUCCAGUCCAACGUUAAUCGGGGCUGGGUGAGUCGACCCCUAAGGCGAGGCCGAAAGGCGUAGUCGAUGGGAAAAUGGUUAAUAUUCCAUUACUUCUGUGUAAUGCGAUGAGAGGACGGAGAAGGCUAAAUCAGCCUGGCGUUGGUUGUCCAGGUGAAAGGAUGUAGGCAUGUAUCUUAGGCAAAUCCGGGGUACUCUAUGCUGAGAUCUGAUAGCAAGCUGUACUUGUACAGCGAAGUGGUUGAUGCCAUGCUUCCAGGAAAAGUCUCUAAGCUUCAGUUACACAGGAAUCGUACCCGAAACCGACACAGGUGGUCAGGUCGAGUAGACCAAGGCGCUUGAGAGAACUCUGCUGAAGGAACUAGGCAAAAUGGUACCGUAACUUCGGGAGAAGGUACGCUGUUGUUGGUGAUGGAACUCGCUUCCUGAGCUGACGACAGCCGCAGAAACCAGGCCGCUGCAACUGUUUAUUAAAAACAUAGCACUCUGCAAACACGAAAGUGGACGUAUAGGGUGUGAUGCCUGCCCGGUGCUGGAAGGUUAAUUGAUGGGGUUAGCGUAAGCGAAGCUCUUGAUCGAAGCCCCAGUAAACGGCGGCCGUAACUAUAACGGUCCUAAGGUAGCGAAAUUCCUUGUCGGGUAAGUUCCGACCUGCACGAAUGGCAUAAUGAUGGCGGCGCUGUCUCCAGCAGAGGCUCAGUGAAAUCGAAAUCGCUGUGAAGAUGCAGUGUACCCGCGGCUAGACGGAAAGACCCCGUGAACCUUUACUGCAGCUUGACACUGAACUUUGACCUUACUUGUGUAGGAUAGGUGGGAGGCUUUGAAGCUGGAACGCUAGUUCCAGUGGAGCCGUCCUUGAAAUACCACCCUGGUAAUGUUGAGGUUCUAACUCUGUCCCGUGAUCCGGGACGAGGACCGUGUCUGGUGGGUAGUUUGACUGGGGCGGUCUCCUCCUAAAGAGUAACGGAGGAGUACGAAGGUGCGCUCAGCGUGGUCGGAAAUCACGCGUAGAGUAUAAAGGCAAAAGCGCGCUUAACUGCGAGACCCACAAGUCGAGCAGGUACGAAAGUAGGUCUUAGUGAUCCGGUGGUUCUGUAUGGAAGGGCCAUCGCUCAACGGAUAAAAGGUACUCUGGGGAUAACAGGCUGAUACCGCCCAAGAGUUCAUAUCGACGGCGGUGUUUGGCACCUCGAUGUCGGCUCAUCNNGGUACGCGAGCUGGGUUUAGAACGUCGUGAGACAGUUCGGUCCCUAUCUACCGUGGGCGCUGGAAAUUUGAGAGGAUCUGCUCCUAGUACGAGAGGACCAGAGUGGACGAACCUCUGGUGUACCGGUUGUGACGCCAGUCGCAUCGCCGGGUAGCUAUGUUCGGAAGGGAUAACCGCUGAAAGCAUCUAAGCGGGAAGCCUACCUCAAGAUAAGAUUUCCCUAGGACUUUAUGUCCUCUAAAGAGCCGUUCGAGACUAGGACGUUGAUAGGUUGGAUGUGGAAGCAUAGUGAUAUGUGAAGCUGACCAAUACUAAUUGCUCGUGAGGCUUGACUAU
Molecule: ribosomal RNA, 2782 nt
Filed under: Acinetobacter baumannii
Lineage: Bacteria; Pseudomonadati; Pseudomonadota; Gammaproteobacteria; Moraxellales; Moraxellaceae
Description: 23S ribosomal RNA
Rfam family: Bacterial large subunit ribosomal RNA
Source: RNAcentral